Molecule: long non-coding RNA, 353 nt
Organism: Oxyura jamaicensis (ruddy duck)
Lineage: Eukaryota; Metazoa; Chordata; Aves; Anseriformes; Anatidae
Exons: 2
Source: RefSeq, a predicted model, not a curated record
UGUAGUAUUUUUCAUUACUGAAAUCUCUUUUCUAAUUUCUACCGAGCAGCUGGUUAACUUUCUUAGAAUUCAACAUAAACUCUUGUAGGUGAAUGGGAUCUGUUGCAUUCUUCUCCGACUUCAGAAAGAUCUUUUAAUAUUUCAUGUCCAUUUGGAGUGUAUGAAAUACUCAGGAUUUAGAGUAUGAGCAUCUUGCAGAAUGCUGUUUUUAGAGUGACACUGAUGAUCUGUGAAGCAUGGAACAUCUAAAAUCUCCUAAAAUUCCUCUUUUUUUUUUUUUUUUUUGGAUUAACAUGUAAAGCUAUUGAUGCCAACCAGUGAAAUAUUAUUUUAGUCAGGUGAUUUGACUGCAA